CGGGCCGUCUCCAUACUCCGUCUGGUAUGAGUGCCAAAUGACCAAGUCUCCAUACCCCGUCCGGUAUGAGACGACGUUCACGGUAGGGUUCCCUAUGAACCCGGUCCGUCCACCAUCUCCCAUGAUAUCUAGUGAGGCUAUCACCUUAUCUGUUAUCACUUAGUCUCCGUUACCAAGUUGAACAUAAUUACAUAAACAAUAAACAUGCACCUGGUAAUACAAUCAUAUCGUAAAUUCCCAAAUCACACAGUGGUCAAGUAAGACAGUAAUAUACAUGCAUUUAAAACCAUAGAA
This 294-nucleotide long non-coding RNA is filed under the name Carica papaya (papaya). Its description in RNAcentral is "long non-coding RNA (CPAP_LNC005036)". Lineage: Eukaryota; Viridiplantae; Streptophyta; Magnoliopsida; Brassicales; Caricaceae. The record is from RNAcentral.